AGAGUUUGAUCAUGGCUCAGGAUGAACGCUGGCGGCGUGCCUAAAACAUGCAAGUCGAACGGACUCUUUUAGGUAUUUAGUAUCUAGUAUGAGGUAUUUAGUAUUAGCGGCAUCUGAUACUUGAUACUUAAUACUAGAUACCAAAUACUUCUAAGAGUUAGUGGCGGACGGGUGAGUAACACGUUGGUACCUACCCCGAAGUGGGGAAUAACUGCCCGAAAGGGUGGCUAAUACCGCAUAAUACCGCAAGGUUAAAGCAGUAAUGCGCUUCGGGAGGGGCCUGCGUCCCAUUAGCUAGUUGGUAGGGUAAAGGCCUACCAAGGCGACGAUGGGUAGCUGGUUCGAGAGGAUGAUCAGCCACACUGGGACUGAGAUACGGCCCAGACUCCUACGGGAGGCAGCAGUUAGGAAUCUUCCACAAUGGACGAAAGUCUGAUGGAGCAACGCCGCGUGCAGGAUGACGGCCUUCGGGUUGUAAACUGCUUUUAUAUGGGAAGAUUGUGACGGUACCAUAUGAAUAAGGACCGGCUAACUACGUGCCAGCAGCCGCGGUAAUACGUAGGGUCCAAGCGUUAUCCGGAAUCACUGGGCGUAAAGCGUGUGUAGGUGGAAGUUUAAGUGAGGGGUUAAAUCGUGUGGCUCAACCAUAUCGAUGCUCUUCAUACUGGACUCUAGAGGACGGCAAGAGGCAAGUGGAAUUAGCAGUGUAGCAGUGAAAUGCGUAGAGAUUGCUAGGAACACCAAUGGCGAAGGCAGCUUGCUGGGCCACUCCUGACACUCAAGGACAACGGAAAGCGUGGGGAGCGAACAGGAUUAGAUACCCCCGUAGUCC
Molecule: ribosomal RNA, 832 nt
Filed under: uncultured bacterium
Lineage: Bacteria
Description: bacterial SSU rRNA
Rfam family: Bacterial small subunit ribosomal RNA
Source: RNAcentral